UUCAAGUUGUUGCUCUGGAUUUCCAAUCACAGAAUAUUCUGAGUUGGAAGGGACCCACAAGGAUCAUCAAGUGCAGCUCUUAAGUGGAUGGCCCAUACAGGCGAUUGAACCUGUGACCUUGGCGUUAUUAGCACCAAGAUUUAACCACAUUGACAAAACGUACAAGAUUUUGGAGGGGAAAAAAGAACAGGAGAAAGUUUAUUAGCUGGAAGGUGCUUGUCUGGGUGUUACCUGGGUUUGGAGUAGCCAGCUGUCUCAAACACUAUCUGCAUUUUUAAAGGAAUAAGAAGUCUUGGCAGACACUGGAACAAUUAAUUGGCUUUUUCAGCCAAGUCAGUUCAGUGUGACACCACUGCUGCUGAGAGCUGCUAUGGGAUUCGCAGCACAGAAGUGGAAAACAAGAAUGUCUGGAUAAAGUAAAAAAAACCAGAAUAAUUAGUAUCCAUUUAAGAUCCAAAGUAUUGCUUGAGAUAGCUAGAUAAAAAUUGGGGAGUGAGGGAAGAAAGGAUAAGAAAAAAAGUAAUAAAAUGUCUUUGAAUGACUUC
This is a long non-coding RNA of Corapipo altera (White-ruffed manakin), 545 nucleotides long. RefSeq lists it as uncharacterized. The transcript is spliced from 3 exons. Lineage: Eukaryota; Metazoa; Chordata; Aves; Passeriformes; Pipridae. The record is from RefSeq and is a predicted model, not a curated record.